AUGGCGGAAGCAAACCUGCGCAAACAACUGAAGCUGCGCCUGCUAGGACUAGCUGUCAUCGAGAGAGCGAGAAAGCGUCAAACUUCCUGCAUUUCAUGGCUGAGGGGUGGUGACGCCAACACAAAAAUAUUCCACGCAAAGAUCAACUCCCGUCGGAGGAAGAAUUUCAUCCAUGCCCUCAAGCAAAGAGAGGAGAUCGUCACUGCACAUAAGGAUAAAGAUGAGGUCAUCCAUGACUAUUUUUCUCAAAUUAUUGAAUCAUGGGAGCCGAGAGAAAUAUAAAUCAAUUGGACUGAGCUACAAAUGCCUGCACUGGAUGCUGACGGCCUAGACCUACCAUUUACCGAGGCUAAAGUUUGGAAUGGAAUUAAGCUCACCCCUGCAGAAAAAUCGCCACCGCCAGAUUAG
This 408-nucleotide ribosomal RNA is filed under the name Triticum aestivum (bread wheat). Its description in RNAcentral is "partial small subunit ribosomal RNA". Lineage: Eukaryota; Viridiplantae; Streptophyta; Magnoliopsida; Poales; Poaceae. The record is from RNAcentral.